This is a non-coding RNA of Rattus norvegicus (Norway rat), 41590 nucleotides long. The record is from RefSeq and is a predicted model, not a curated record. Lineage: Eukaryota; Metazoa; Chordata; Mammalia; Rodentia; Muridae.
GUUUGCCUGGAAACCGGGAAAGGGAAUAACACUUGAAAUGUAUAUAAGAAAUACUCAAGUUAAUAAAAAGAAUAAAUAAAUUUAGUAGAACUGGCAUGAAAUUUCUUGAUACAUAUACCUUUAUAAUUUUAAAAUUUUGCUUCUGUAUGUGUAUCUCGUUCUGUGAUGUGCAUAGAGUGCCCAUGGAGUUUAGGAAAGGGCAUCUUACCCCAAGGAGCUAGAUUUAUAGAGGUUUAUCAGCUCCCUGGUGAGCUGUCCAAACCUGGGUCCUCUGCAAGAAUACCAAGUGCUCUCAAGUUCUGAGGCAGCUCUCCCACUCCUAUACCACUUGUAAGGUCUACAUCUUCAUCUUACCGACAUUAUUAUUUAUUCCAGAAAUCCUUGAGGGUUUAUUUUAACCCAGGUAUUGAUUUGAAGAUAAAUUAAUAUUUUUCUCAUUUACAUUACCAUGCUGCCUUCAUGUUUGAAUGAAUGUAAUACAUUUUCUCAGUUCUACUUCAAGAGUAGUGAGUGGCUUAGAAUGGUUUAGCUAGUACAGAGUCUUGGCCAAGCUUCCACAGUAGAAUAAGAUGCAGCCUGAUUCUAUUGCUUAAUUAAGUGUUCCACAGGCCAGCACUCCUGCUUUCUUGAAUAUAAUGAAAUAAUUUUUUUUCAGUUAAGAUGAUGGAAUUUUCAGCCUUUCUCACAUGAAAAUGUCAGUGCCUUCAUGAAUGGAACAUCGUGUCUUGAGGCUGUUUUUGUUUUUGCUUUUGUUUGUUUGAUUUGGUUUGAUUUUUACUAUUAGAAUUAUUGAUUGUUGGUAGGCAAGUACAAUACACAUGUGACUGUUUUGAAAUAGAACUUAGAACUAUUCGAUAUAUAUAUAUAUAUAUAUGUAUAUAUAUAUAUAUAGUUAAUUUGAAGCAGAAAUCAUUGACAAUCCAAGCUUUGAGCCAUUACUGAAGGGAUCUAGUGCACAGACCUAGACAGUGAGACAAGGUGACUUUCACCCACUAACAUACACAAAAAUAGUGAUGUACAGGAGAAACAGAAAUUAUCUGGAAUCCAUGAUGUUCUCAUGUGUACUGCCCAGCAGACGGAAGUCACCAGUGACCCCAAUGAACCAAGAGACAACAGAGAGUGUCUGGCUGUAGGGCAGAACAGGCGUCCCAGGCGCUGGCACCAGAGGGAGUGAGAACAUUGGGCAAGGAGGGAGGACUAGCUCCAUCCCAGUAUUUCCUAGCAGACACACUGACCUUGGUGGAACUGCAGAAAUUAUCAGAGCCAUAAUAGGUGUGAGGCAGAGCCCUCAGGGUGAGUGAAGAUCUUUGCUUUUUCUGUACUUCUAAGAGGUAUGCCUGAGCCAAGCCGCCUGCCUCCAAAGACCCAGCUUCCAAUAUCCGUUGCUGAAGGGGACUAAGAUUAACCACAUUUUAGCAGGUUUAUGUCUAGCAUAAAUAGACUAGGUCAUUUAAAGGCAACCAAAGCAAACUGCAUUUGUUUUAUAAAUCAACAUGCACAAAGAGAGGCUGUCUUGACCUCCUUCAGCAUAUAUAAUGUGUUCAAAAUUUCAGCAUAUCUUCUAAUACAUGGGGUGAAGGAAAUAGAGGUGCCACUUCUCCCAAAACAGCACACCUGGACCACAACACUUAGGAGUUGUACUUGCUAGAGUCAGUAUUGCACUGUAAGGCACAAAAAGAUGUUGAAUUCUACCUGGAGCAUCUACUGAGAGACUGGGGUCAGCUUUAGAUUUUGAUAUUUACAUCGAGCUUGGGUAGAAUUCUAUAGCUUGAGGGAUGGGGAGAUCAGUUCAGGAGGGAAGUAUGUAAGAACAAGGUUUAAGGACACAUGGGUGUGUCAUGAUGAACCCCAGUGUGUCUUCAGUUAACUUUUUUUUUAUUAUUGGGAUAUAUUAAUUAUUCAUGCAAAUGGGUUUUGUUAGGACUUUUUUGUGCAUGCAUAUCAUGUAUUUUUAAUGAUAUCCUCUAUUACCUUCUCCCACCUUACUCCUGUGAAUCAACUUUUUCUUUUACCUGUUUGUCCUUUCCUCUCUCCUUCGGUUCUUCCUUCCCUCUCUACCUCCUUUCCCCUUCCAUUCCUUCUUCCUCUCUUUUUCUUCCUCUUUUCUUCCUCUUUUUGCCUGACUUACCAUUGCAUUUUAUUAGGGUUUCUGAUCAUUGGUUAGUAGCCCGUGUUGUUGAAACAAAGAAUUUUGCAUACUACAUUAAAAAUAAAUCACCUCUUUGUUCCCUUUAAAAUCACCCCCACCACUACUUUUAAAUAUGCAUAUUCUAAAGUAAGAUUGGUGAUGUCACAGUUGUUUUUGGUAUUUCACAGAUGGUCUCAAAACUUAGCUGCUUUCAGAAGAACAAAACAAAAUUUUCUGUCAUUCUAUGGCUCAGCCUUGAGACUGAGAUGCUGACUUACUCAUGGUCUCUUGAGGCCUGUGGCCAUAUAUAUUAGCAUUUGAGGGUUUCACAAGUUAAGAGUCAGAGGACUUCAGAUUGACUACAGCUGGCUCUACUUGGGAACGAGCGUGCCAUAUAUUGACCUGGGAGCUGAGCAUUCUACAAAAUCUGAAAUGAGACCAAGCUCUGAGCAGAAAUCAUAGGACUCAGUGCUAUGAACUGAGUUUACCAGAAAUACUGGAGUCAUCAGAGAAAAUGGAUUCUUUCAUUGUAGAAGACUAGGGAAAGUCUUUGGAGUGCUCUAGCAUGAUGAUUUUAACUGGGGGUAAGAGAGAUGCAUUCUGAAAAAGCAACAGAGAAUGAUGUUACAGAGCCUUUCAAGUGUUUGGAAAUAUUCAAAAGACGCUCUAGAAGUAGGAGAAAAAAAAGCAAAAAUCAUAUGCAAAUCAAAUUACAAAAGUUGUGAUUACAUAUACAUGUUGAGAAUAUGUGGGUGAUUCUGCAGGGAUAGUGACAUGAUUCUGUUAAACAAAUUCAGGAUGAACAAAGUCAGGAAGGAAAAGUUACGAUUUCAACAAAAUCAAGACCAUGAAACAUCACAAGUAAAAGAAAUUAGAAAAAAAAAGAGGCUGUAAUAGUGAACCUUCAUAUAUCAAAAUAAAAGUCAGUAGAGUAAUCUUAUUGAAUCAAAAUCAAAGAGUCCAGGAGCACAGGAGCACAAUAACAAAGAAACACAAAUAUCGAAUGGAAAAAUGAAAGUUCAAGUCAGAAUAUGAACCAACUUGUAGUACAUUUGUUUAACAAAAUUAACCCCCCCCAACAAAAUCUUCAGCAUAAGAUAAAAUGCACUGGUACAGGUGUUUAAUAGAAAAUGUGUGGGAAUAAAACUUGCAAGUGUGCAGUAGAAUAGAACAGAAUAGAAUAGAUAAGAAUAGGAUAGAUAGAUAGAUAGAUAGAUAGAUAGUAGAUAGACAAAUGAUAGAUAGGUGAUAGAUAGGUGAUAGAUAGAUGCUAGAUAGAUAGAUGCUAUAUAGAUGCUAGAUAGAUAGAUAGAUAGAUAGAUAGACAGAUGAUAGAUAGAUAGAUAGAUAGAUAGAUAGAUAGAUAGAUAGAUAGAUAGAUAGGGUAGGUGGGUGGGUGGAUGGGUGGAUGGAUGGAUAGAUGGAUAGAUAGAUAGAUAGAUGCUAGAUAGGUAAAGAUAGAGGUGGAGAUAUCAAUAUUACAUAAAUAUAAUCCCAGAGUAGAACAAUUUUAAGAAAUUUACAGUUUUAUUUUGAGAAUUUGUUUGUUUUUUAAUUUUCAAUAUCUUUAAUUUGAAAUUAUUUUAUUUAUAUUUGUGACUAUAGCUCAUUUGUCUGAAUGUAUGUAUAUAUAUAUAUAUAUAUAUAUAUAUAUAUAUAUAUAUAUAUAUAAUUGCACACUGGAUCCAAUGGAGUCCAGAAGAGGAUGUUGGAUGCCCUGGGAGUUGCAGAUGACUUUGAGUACCCAUAUGGGCACUUGGAAUUUAUCCUGAGUUCUCUGGAGGUGUAGCUAGUUUUCUUUUUGUUCUUUUUUUUUUAAUUGAAUUUUUUUAUUAACAUUUCAAAUGUUAUCCCUUUCCCAGUUUCCUGGCCAUAAGCCCCUUAUCCUAUCCCCCUCCCCUUCUAUGAGGCUGUUCCACCUCUCCAACCACCCCUUCCCACCUUACCUCAACAUUCCCCUACACUGGGGGGGGGGUUGUGUGCAGCCUUGGCAGGACCAAGGGCUUCUCUUCUCAUUGGUGCCCAACAAGGCCAUCCUCUGCUACAUAUGCAGCUGGAGCCAUAUUUCAUGUGUACUCCCCCUUCAGUUCCUUCAAUCCUUUCUCUAACUCCUCCAACAGGGACCCAGUUCUCAGUUCAAUGGUUUACUGCUAGCAUUCGCCUCUGUAUUUCACAUGCUCUGACUGAGCCUCUCUGGAGACAGCUAUAUCAGUCUCCUGUCAGCAUGCAAUUGUUAGCUUCAUCCAUAUUAUCGAGUGUUGGUGGCUGUAUUUAUAUGGGCUGUAUACAUAAAUGGGGCAGGCUCUGAAUGGUCAUUCCUUCAGUCCCUGCUCCAAACUUUGUCUCCAUAUUUCUUCCUAUAAAUAUUUUUGUUCCUCCUUCUGAGGAAAACUGAAGCAUCUGCACUUUGGUCAUCCUUCAUCUUGAGCCUCAUGUGGUCUGUGGAUUUUAUCUUGGUUAGUUCAAGUUUUUUGGGCUAAUAUCCACUUAUCAGUUUGUGCAUACCAUGUUUGUUUUUUUGUGAAUGGGUUACCUCACUCAGGAUAAUAUUUUCUAGUUCUGUCCAUUUUCCUAUGAAUUUCAUGAAAUCAUUGUUUAUGAUAGCUGAGUAGUACUCCAUUACGUAGAUGUACCACAUUUUCUGAAUCCAUUCCUCUGUUGAAGGGCAUCUGGGUUCUUUCCUGCUUCUGGCUAUUAUAAAUAAGGCUGCUAUGAACAUAGUGGAGCAUGUGCCUUUGUUUUAUGUUGGAGCAUCUUUGGGUAUAUGCCCAGGACUGGUAUAACAGGGUCCUCAGGUAGUGCAAUGUUUGAGAAUCUUAAGUAUAUAAAAACAUACAGCUGAAUAUUGGCUAGUUUCAUGUCAACUUGACACAAGCUAGAGUCAUCAGAGAAGAGGAGGGAACCUCAAAUGAGAACAUAUCUCCAUAAAAUUGGAUUGUAGGCAAGCCUGUAUGGUAUUUUCUUAAUUAGUGAUCAAUGGAAGAGGUCUUAGUUAUUGUGGGUCAGGUCAUCUCUGGGCAAGUGGUAUUGGGAAGCAGGCUGAUCACGCCAUGACGAGUAAGCAGCACCCUCCAUGGCUUCUGCAUUGGCUCCUACAUCUGGGUUCUUGCCCUCUUUGUGUUCCUGCUCUGAUUCCCUUCAAUGCUGAACACCAAAGUUGAAAAUUAAAUGAAAUAAACCCUUUCUUCUCCAACAUGUGUUUCAUCACAACAACAGAAGCCCUAGCUAAGACAAAUAGAAAAUCAUAAUUAACAGAGAAAUUUCUAGUAUGUAGAUUCACUGAGUAGCAAGUGUGUUUUUUAUUUAAAUAUUAUUUUUCUUAACAGAAAAAUAUUAACCUGAGUGGUUUUCAAAGCUGCUUUAAGGAAAUUUGACCUGUUUUAAGGACUGUGGUGCAUGUAUAUAUGAAUUGAAAAAGCAAAUAAAGAAUAAAAGCCCUUCAAUUCCAUUCCUUCAAAUAUUAUAGCAUUUAAUUCCUCUUAUCCUUUUUUCUGUUGACAUUCUAUACAUACAUAAGGGAUUUUAGUCAUUUCUACAAGAUUGAUUCUUCCUUCUCAUCCUGCUGAAAACAAUAAAUCCCCCUUCUAUCUUCACUUCUUUUUCUGUGCGUGAUCCGCUGAGUUCCAUUAGGAUUGUCUGAGUUCAAUUCUUAUUGAUCCUCUUCUCCCAAAAUCAAUUUUUACACAUUUUAAACACUUAAGUGUGAAAAAGUAAUCCAUUAUAAUGUUUAGAGAAAAAGAUCAAAAAUACAUUUCUGGAUUUAGAUAAAGAAAAGUUUUAGAAACAUAAUGGGAAUUUCCUAGCCAAAUUAAAAACUACAAAAGUAAGAAAGACCAAGCAUACCAAUGUCUAAUGAAAUGUAGAAAGAUUUAAGGGUAAGGAAGUGUCUAUGAAAAGUGACACGGUGAGAACAGCAAAAACUAUGAGCAGAUGAGAAACAGAAAGAUUAAUGCAAGAGUGACUGAUGGAAGACUCAGACACAGAACCUACCUGAAGGUGCCUGACCCCUGAAGAGCGAAGAAAAAUGACUUAAAAAUGCAUGGUGGCAUUGAAUUGAUGCAAUCUAGUGGAAAAUAAUAAUUAAGAAAAAGAGAACAAAUGAGGGAGGAUGUGUAAAAGUGACAGCUCACAAAUUGCUGAUGGAAGUGACAAUUGGGACAGCGAUUCCAAGAUAGAAAUUAGCAACAGCUAGGGAAGUUAAGAAAAUGGUCACAGUUGACAGGACACAUAUUUGUGAGCAUGCUUCUUAAGAUGCCAACAAUGUCCACACAGAUAUUUGUCUCAGCAGCGGAAAGCUGGUGCCUGUGGCAUAUGCAUGUCUAAGGAUGCAAAAUGCUGACUUUAACAUAUCUAUUUUGGCUUACAGGAGUUAAGGUCAUUGUGUAUCUCUCAACAUUGAGUCAUUUUCAAAAACCCUAAAAAGCAAAUGAUGUAUGUCAGUGAGUUUCCAUUGAUAUGUAAAACAAUAGAAUUAUGAGUGUCUGUGCGUUUGUUGUUUGUGUGUCUGGAUUUAUAUGCAUGCAACACAUACAUAAUGACAUAGACUAGAACUGUUCAUUGCAUGCUAACAGGGAAGAUGAGUAGGGAAGAGUGGGAGAGAGGAGAGCCUGCAGUGGAGUUGUGUUAGUGGAUUUCCAAUUCAUCUGAUAUGUAUUCCUUGACUGACUUGAAGCCCAUUCGAUAGAAGUUCGUGCUUUAACAUCGUCUGGUCACACAAGUGAUGGAAUAUUCUGUGUUAGUUUCUUUUUAUUUUGAAGUAUGUCUGCAUGUUCCUGUAUGCACUCAAACUUGCUGCUAUUUGCAUGUCUGUGGCAUGCAUGCAGGGGUAAGUUCAGGACUUUAAGUGGUUUCCACUAUUGCUCUUCAAAUUAUUGCCUUUGACAGUAAUCUCAAUGAACAGAGAGCAGGGAAGCACACCACUUCUUCCAGCUGUCAGGCAAGCUUCAGUGUGUACUCAUCUCCAUCUUAAACUGCUGAGAUUGCCACUGUGCAUGUCAUGACUCACUAAAUUCAUGUGGGUGCUAGGAUUUGUACUCUGGUCCUCAGCUUUGUUUGCAGGGCAAGCCACUCCUAACCAUUUAGCAUUUAGCUAUCUUCUCAUGAACUACACUUUUGAUACAGUUACUGAGAAUAGGAGAUUUUUUUUAUUUGACUGGUCCUUACCUUAAGGUAUUUUCUCUAUUAACUUUGCUCUAGUUCCAGAGAACAUCUUACCAGUAGAGGUACGAGAUGGGCUUCCUUCCUGUAAUUUAUCAUGGCAAUCUGACCAACAGAGGGGUGGGCUAGAUUAAGUAGGGUUUAGAGUCUUUGGUUUAAUUUCAAUGAAUAUUUACUUAUUCAUUAUUAUUUUUGUGCCGUGUGUGUGUGUGUGUGUGUGUGUGUGUGUGUGUUGUACCUCAUGUGUGAUGGAAAUUCACAGAGACCAGAAGAUAGAAAUGGCUCUCUAGUUCUAGAGUUCCAGAAGAUGGUGUACCACCCAAGUUGGAUUCUAGGAACCAAAUUUGGGACCUCUAGAAGAGCAUCAGGUUCCCGUAACUGCUGAGUCAUCUGUCUAUCCAUUCUAUUCCAAUUUAAAUCACUCUUGGUAUUUUUAUACUAAAAACAUGAUACAUAUAUGUGAGGGACUAUGUGCCUAGAAGUAGCCCUCCCUCUGAACGAGCAACAGGACAAUCUCUAUGGAUUACCUGUGUGUAAAGAUUACUGGGAAGUUUUACUGAAAUAUGUUGGGCUUCAUCACUCUGUUGAGAACUUCAGUGGCAGCAAAGCCAUGAGUUCCAGUAAUGGGAAGCAGAAUCAAAACAUCACAGGGCCAGGAAGUUCACCCUAAGGAUGCUUAGAUCACACUCUGUCAGGUAAGCACCUUGAUAAGGACUUGUAUAUGACAUAAGUGAAGUGGGAGACACGGACACAACCACAACUACACGUCUUCACAAGUGAGCACAGCCCAACUGAACCCAAAUGUUUCUUAUCACUAUGGCAAAUUCCUGAAAAGGAGCUGAAGAGAGGAGAGUUAUAUCACUUCUCAGAAUUUUAAAGCAUAAGAUAUAAAUCAUGGUAGGGAAGGUAUGAUGGCCACAUUGAAGUAAUUGGAAAGGUGAUAACAUUUGAAAUGUAAAUACAUAAAAUAUCCAAGAAAAAUUUUAAAAAAGCCUGUAAAAGUUUCCCAACCCCCCCCCCAAAAAAAAAAUCAAGCCCAGGACCAGAUGGAUCUAGUGUAGUGGAGAUUUCUAUCAGACCUUCAAAGAACACCCAAUACCAAUGCUCUUCAAACUAUUCUGCAAAAUAGAAAACAGAGGGAACACUACCCAAUUCAUUCUUUGAAGUCACAAUUAUGCUUAUACCUAAACCACACAAAGACCCAACAAAGAAAGAGAAAUUCAGACCAAUUUCCCUCAUGAAUAUCUAUGCAAAAAAUACUCAAUCAAAUUUUUGCAAACCAGAAAAAAAAUAGAAAAGAAACAAACAAACAAGGCCAAUCUAAAAGCAGAAGUAGACUAUACCUUAAAAGACCUCUACCCAAGUGACCCACAACUUCAUGACAAGUUACAUAACUUUCCAAAACAGUCCCACCUGGUUGGGGUAUAAUCUAAUAUAUAGGCUUAUGGGGGGAACCAAAACCAUAAGGAAAACUGAAUUGUUUUUACUGACUUUGAAGCAUUAAAUGGUUCUUUUGACAGGAAUUCAAGUUUACAUUAUGUUACUUUGAAGGAGAGAUUCUUGAUCAUGAAUUAAUCUAUUGCAAGGCUGAUUUUUUAGUUGGGGGUUGUCAAUUGAAUUUUGCAUAGUAAAAUGAGCUGGGUUUAGACUGAGAAUCUCUUAGUCCUGUCUACUUCUCAGAUUCAGUGUAUACCUGGGACAGGAGUUGGGAUAUUGUAAAUAAGCACACUUUCUUUAGAAAUAACUCUAAGAGUCUAAACUUAUAACUUAUAAAAAAUAAGACCCACUCUCAGUAGUUAGUUGUGCUAUUUUUUACUUGGUGGAACCAUGCAAAUACGAUUUGAAACGGGAACUUCUAGAAUAUUUGUUGAUAGCUGUCAAUCCUAAAUGUGAAGAGAAACUGACAAUCUUGCUGUAGUAAGUAAAGUGUUCUUGCUAAUUUUCAGAAAUUUGUGGGGAACGUCUUGAUUGUGUUGAACAAAUGUGACCAUUUUCCUUCAAUAAACAACCACUGCCUUGAGGCAGCCUCCAGGGGAAAACUGUUUAUCCCAGGUACACAUUUUUAAUAUUUGUAAACAAUGUCUAUGUUCUAUCCUUAAAUUUACUACUUAUCACUGUAUAAUUUUCCACCAGUUUGACAAUAUAUACAUCUCAUUAAAAGGUAAGCCCAUGUGGAAUUGGUCACUAGUGGGCACUGUGACUAAAGAUAAUGUGAAAAUAGACUGUUCCCUGACUACGCAGACUAAGCAUAGCACUCAUCACCAAGGCAUGGAUGAAUUGUUUAAAAAUGUUUGAGCUAGGUGAGUAACAAACACCUCACACAUUUUUGCAUUUCCAAAUCCAAGCAAACGUGCUAUCCAUUGCAUACUUUCUGAUUUAAUAUGAAGGGCAGAAUUACCUGCAGAAAAGUCUGCUUGUACAGUUGGAAGAAAUGGUAGUCACUGCAGGGGUCCUGUAAAUGUAUGCAGUUGAAGUCCACAUCCCCUGACACCUGCCAGCCAACAGAGAACUGUCCCACAGUUAAGACAGUAAUAAUACUAGUAAUAAUACUAAGUAAAUAAUAAUACUUAAUACUCAGUAUUUAAUAACCUUCCCUUGAUUCUGUCUCUUGAGGAUCCUCAUUCCAUUCUAGAAGUCAUAGUUUAAUACUCUGCUCUGUGAUCUAUCAUUCCUUAUAUCCCAAGAAUCAAGAUGAUUUUUUUCUUUCCUUUUAUUCUUUGAAGUCAAGACUCUUGCUUUUCUACCCUAAUUGCGAUCGAUCACCAGUCAAUGACUCCCCUCCUGGUUUGGCCCAGCAUCUCAGCCUGUGGAAGUUUAUUGUGAUUGUGAAUUAGAUUGGAUUAAGAAUUGGGGGAUCCGGGAAAACAUCACUGUGGUGUCUGGAAAGACAAAUCCAGAGAAGAUUAGAUCUUUCAGGUUCUAUCCUAAUGAGCAGAGAAAGGCAAUGAUAGGUUCAACAUAUGAAUAAAUUAUUGGGAAAUGGAAGAGGCGAUGGAUCCCUGAGGAAAUGCCCUUGAGGAUUUUGCCCCAUAACUUCCCAUUGGUUCUCUAGGCUUCCAACCCAGGCUGAAGCUUGCUACCCAGACAAGAUUUCUAUGGCACAAUGGACUAACACUUCAGAAGACAUGAGACCAAAAUAACUUUUUACUUCUUUGGAUUAUUUCUAUUGCAAACUUUGGUUAUAAUAAGACAAUAGUCCCCUUCUGUGUUCACUAUGAUUUCUCCUCAGAAGGCCAUCUCUAUGCCCUGAUUAUCUUAGUCCUUUCUCCCCAAACUUUCUUACCUGACCUUCCAGGCUUGCUUUUGAUUCCUUUUGCAGAGUAAUACAACCAAUGACUUGGAUAUUCCCAGUUGUUUACUGGGAAGCAUUGUGGUCUGGAUGUGGAUUUAGAGUAGAAACUUUCUCCUUCCACAGGUUGGUGGUAAGAAUGACCAGAAGCAGUGGAUUUUCCUAGGCAAUAAUCCAGAAUUUGGCUGUAGCUGCAACAGAGCAAGCAGUAUUGGGCACCACAGUGGAGCAAGAGUUCCCAAGGAGUCAACUGUGUUCUCUAACCAGGGGAAUCUGGACCUGUCUCAUUUGAUUACGUGACAGUCAUGAUAAUGAACUUUAUAGGGAAAGGAGAUAGCUAACCAUGUGAACCAUGCACAUUCCUGAGAGUGCUCAGGAAGCCAGCUAAGGAAUGGAAGUUGCAUCUCUGGUAGAAUAUUCAUGUCCAUUUAUUUUUAACUAUAAAUGUAUUUAAUAUUUAUUCAGGGUUCCAAAGUUCCUCAGGGACAAGGAAUCAUUUUUAGGCUUUGAAAAAGUAACUUAAAGUGAUAAAAAAAAUGUACAUUAACAGCAGCAAAAAAUGAUACCUAAAUUUAACAUUCCCAACAAGGUAUGCUGAAUCUACUGCAUCAAAUUCUUUCAUCACUGUACUUUGUUUGGUCACAGGAUACUGACCAUAGGAUGUCACUGAUUGCUACAGUAUGCUGGUGAAAUUUAUAAACGACUUAGCAGAUAUUUUGAAUAAGCCAUUUAUCAAAAUAUGAAGCACUUGACCUAUAAAUCAAUUAGUAGGUUGUAAAUAAAAUAAGUUUACAAAGAGUUUUGAGAAUGUUUUAGUAUGGAUAUGUCAUUUACUUGCCUAAGCUAAUUAAUUCAUCAUGUUCCAGUGAAUGGCUGGGAGGCCAGUCACUGAGUACCUGGCAGGUUUGCUUGGGGUUCUGGUAUUGCUAUACUCAUAGCUGUGGCUAAAUCCCUUACAGAAUGAUCUUGAGGAAGGAGGGUAGUUGUCGUGGUUUCUGGUUUGGCUAUAGUCCAUGAGGUGAGGAAGACAUAGUGGCUGGAAUGUGAAGCAGCUAGUGUCACACGACACCAACAGUUAGGAAGUUAAUGGACAUGGAUGUUGGUACUACGCUGUCUUUCUUGUUCCUAAUUAAUCUAGUAUCCCAGAUCAUGUAGAUAGAGAGACUGUCCAUAUCGAGAAUUACCUUCAGACUCCACAGAAGUUGAUCUCUGAGUGAUUCUAAAUCACAUCAAGUUAACAAGACAAACAAUGACAGUUCUUACAUACUCAGAUAUUUGACACAAUUCCUUCUCACCUAUCCUUAUCCUGUCCUUAAAAUUCUUCUCCUUUCUUCAAGAAAGGGUGGGUUUCACUAGAUUAUGGGUCUAUGAUUCAUCUUCCAGAUGGAUGCUCAAACUCUUGCCAUCCUUGCUCAUCACAUUUAACUAUGAUGACACAGAGUGAGAGGAGGAUAUCAUUGCGUUCUCGAGCUUGAUUCAUGUGGGUGCACAUACUGUAGGGCUGUGUGUGGAGAGCCAUAGGGCAGCUAUUUCUCUAGAACCUCAGUGUGAAGAUGCGCCCAGGGGAUGCCACACACUUCUUCCUAAUAGUUCCAAUUUUUUUUCCUCAACUACUGUUCUGCAGGUUAGAUGGCAGACUGAAUGCACUUACUGCCUAUGUUCUUUGGUGAUGAACUUCACCUUCCUGUGCCUUGCCUUGUCCAAAGGCAAAAUGUGUCCAACUGCCCUGAUUCAAGAGUGUUUUUGUUUUGUUGUUUCUUUAGGUUCAGAAAUAAAAAUGAUAUAUCCAAGAAGGUCAAAAUCAAUUCACAUUUAUUUUGAGUUAUAUUAUGUAUGCCAACAUGUUUAUCUGUGUUUACACCAUGUAUCCACUAUCUCUAAGAUCUAAUAGAAAUCACAUGUUUCAACUUUUCCUAUCAGGAAUGUUCCUGCAUAAAGAAUUUCUUGUUGUCACAAUUGCAACUACUUUAAAGAUGACCCUGAGGUUGCCCUGGGCUUGAACCACUGUGGCCGUUGUGCUAAUGGCCUCUGCUAGAGAGUAUUGGGGUGGGUCAGGUGUCAGAAUGGGCCAACUGGCUAUGCUCUGUCCUCUGACCACAGAUUCCCCUUUAGACACACCUUGCAGAUCUAUGCCAUUGGUCAUUCCUGAGCAUGGGAAUGUCUAUAAGACUCCAUUCCACUUUGUAGAUUUGGGAGUCAUAGCCUAAUGCUCUCAGGCCAGUGGCCUCAUGUCUUCAUAAUGUUUGUUAAUGGGAAGAGGUAGAAUCACACAGGAGUCUAUUGUUCCUAAUUAUAACUUAAUGCUGAGGGGCAAGCUCAUACUUUCUUUGUCCCAUUCAGGAUCAUGCCCUGUAUUAACUGGAGCGCUGCAUGGCACCAAGGGGCACUCAUAUUUGGAAGUCCCUGUUGUGGUGGAGUCACUGAAGCAGGGAAGAUACUUAAUGCAGGAUCUGGACAGGAAACUUUCAGAGACUCAGCUUAGAGAAAUCUUUCUGCACAUAUCUGAAUUUUAUUUCAUUUAUUUAAUGGCUGGGCAUCUUUUACCUCUUUCUUUUACAUAUGAGUUGGUGAGACAAUGUAAGGUCCCUCUCGCAUAUACUACAUCUCCCUUGUGGCUCUUGUCUUACAUUAUAUGCAACUUGCACCCAAAAUGAGCCUCUAGUAUAACACUAAGUACUUAACCCACAGGCUAUUGAAUUUCCUGAAUUUUUCCUACUGGCUUUCUCCUGCCUCUCUGCCCACCAUCCCACUGACAUUGAUGUCAUGUCUCCUAAGGUAACUCUUACCUCUGACAAGUCUCUGAUUCUUUGUUUCUGAAGUUUAGGUAAUACUGGAAAGGACUGGUUAGGAACAUCAGAUUGCUCCCCCAUGGCUUCACUGAUUCUUGGAGUGAGUUUCAGAUCUUUAUGAGGAAGAGUACAGAUGAAGAGCUUUCUAACUCUGUUAGCACUUGCUGUCAGCCCAGCCUCAUUACUGUGAUGAUGCUGUCCCUCAUCAGGUCAGAACUGGAAGGGUCCUGUAAUAUCUGUUUCCUUUUCUUCCCCAUCCUACCCUGAAGUCUAUGUAAGAAAAAUGCUAUGAGGCUGACUAAAGAGAACAGAGUGGGGCAUAGGACUGAGUUAUCUAGAAUUCUGCUUCCAAGUUUUUCUCUUCUCUCCCACCUACUUAAAAAUAUAAUGAUUUAUAUGACCUUUGGCUAUGUAUGACACCUUCAGGCUGCCCAGGUCCAGCAUCUGUUGUCUUCUGUGUGGUACUGCUGCUGUCUUUGGUGUCUGGUACCCAUAAUGACGCUUCCCUUUGGCACAGAUGCUGCUCACUAUGUGAGGUUCACAACAUUGGCAUCUUUGGGUACCAAAAGAACUGGGGGUACCAUGGGCAUGUGAGCCAUAGCACCUCAUGCUUUAGUCCAUAAGGGAUGGACAACACUCCUCCUGGAGGUUUUGAACCCAUAUACCUGCAGGCACUUACCUGAUUACAUUCCAGUCUCCUGGCUUGUUCCUUCGGGCUCUGCUGUCCCUGCAGAUCCAAAUUCAGGGAAGGCAUAAUCAACUUAGCUUUAGCAUAGAGGUUAAUAAAUCCCAGGACAUAGCAUUAUUUUUUCCUCAUUUUGUAUUUUAAAAUAAUUUUAGACUUACAAAAUUCUUCAAAAAUAGUCUAAAUGACCUGGAUAACCUUCACCUGUCUUCCUCCCUGUGUUAAUCGCUUACAUAACUAGAGCACAAUGACCAGAAUGAAAAAAUUGGUGUUGACACAGGGUUAUUAACUUUAAACACCUACUUAGCUCUGUCAAUUUUUCCACUGUACCAUGAUCCACACUCUAUUUGAAUUCCUUUCUGGGAAAUCUGCCCCUCUUCCCAAUGAUCCCUCAGCCUCCUCACCUCCCCAUGACCUUGAAACUUUUGGACAGUGCUGAUUGCUCAUAUCCCUGAUCUUAGUCUGUCUUUUUUCUUUUCUGCUCAGUGGACUCCAGUUUGACUUUCUGCCCAAUACCAUAGAAAAAUACGACCCCUUCUCGGUGACUUGAUCACAGGACACAAGCCACUUUGAGACACAUACGCAUGCCUUUUUCUCACAGUAAGAACAUAGAUCACUUGGCAAAGGUGAUAUAGCCUUUUCCAGUGUCUCCACUGGAACAUUUGCUGUUUUCACGUGAACGGGUGUUUGCUUCAUGAAUGUCCAUGUUCAACACAUGUGCCAGGUGACUGAGAAGGCCAAAGAGGCCAGGCAAAUACAUCAGAUACCCUAGAAUUGGAGUUACAGAUAGUUCUUCUCUUCCAUGCGGGCUUUGGGAAUAACAAGAACUCUAACGUGCUUGGCCAUCUCUCUAGCCCCAUCUAAUUACAAAUAACUGAAAAGUAGUGAAUAGCUCAGAGAACAUACUUUGCUAGUGUGCAAACACCUACAUGUUUCAUGUUUCAGUGUUUAGUCUAAGAUUUGACAAAAGAUAUUCAGAGAUCAUGCAAGGACCAUGUAAAUCUGAGGACACCAUGAUUAUACUUAGGUUGCCAGGAAUGAUUAGUAGAAGAAGGAAGAGGAAGGGAGAGGAUUAGAGAGGGAUAGGAAAAGACCACACAGACAAAGACAGGGUGGGUAUAACUUUUCCCCAAUCUUGCUCCAAACCAUAACCUGUUUCUCAUGUGUUGUUAAGUCUAUGGACACACAGUGCCUCAAGUUCCUCAGGGUUCUGUCAUACCAAUGCUAAUUAAAUAUUAUAAUUAAUUCAGCAUUUACUAACCCAUAAAAACUUCUUAGUGAUGUGUCUUGGUUUAUAAAUCUUAGAUACUUUGGAACAAUCUGUUUAUAAGUGUUAGUGAAGGGAACCAGAUUUCAAUAAUCAAUAAUAAAAUAGCUAGCCUAUUGGAUAGAAUUCAAGUGAAAAUUCUAGAGUAUAAUCAAUAGUGAGAGUCUUUAAGCAUCCAUGCCAUAUGUCAUCCAUAAAAUUGGAUUUUUGCAUCUUCUUUGUUUCCCCUCUCCUUCACCUGCAGGGUUUGGAACUGAAUGACUCUUGGGAGUUAGAUUUUCCUGUUGUGCCAAAUAAGAAGAAACUCACAUGGAUAUUUAAGAAUUGGCAAGGGUGUUACCCCAGCCUCAUUUUCCAUAAUCAAUAUUAGAAGGAUCAUUUAUAAGUGCAUGUCUUAAGAUAUCUACCACAUAGUUUACACUCAAUUUCAUACUUCAUGUGGCAACCAAAACUUGCAAAAGUGCAGCCUUGGAGUGCACAUAGGUGACGAUUUCAGGAGAGUUGAAUUUUUAAAAGGUUCUCAUCCAUAUAUAUUACUCUUCAUCAUUUGGCCAUUAAUAAAUAUGAGCAGUUCAUGAAGAAAAAUAAUUGAAAGCCAGGCAAUAGAUAGAACUUUACAAACUUAAUAGAAAUACCUUUCUUUGCUAAGCAAGAACCUGGUGACUAAGUUCCUCAGGAAUGAAGAUCCCGGUGCUUAGCCCACCUGCCUCAGAGCUGUCAACAUCCACCACAGACAAGCUAGCUCUCCAGAGACCAAAGAGGAGCUUCAAGCUUCUUUAACAUUGUUCGUGAUGUCUCAUUAGGAACCGUAGAGAAAAAUCUGCUAACUCUUCUUCCUACAAAACAUAAAGUACAUGUAACAAUUUUAGAACAAAGAAUGAAAUAAAGGAGCGAUGCCUUUGGAAUUCAAAAGGAAGACAGCCCACCCAGUUCCUGUGCUUUGGGGACUGCUCUGUUCCUUCUCUUUAAUCACCCCCCAAGGACAACAUCAUUUUCUUUAAUUACUAAUCUGAUUAAAUCUUUCCUCUAGCACUUAAAAAAAAACUUGGAACCAGUUAGCCCCAUGAUUAAAUGUCCUCUGCUUCCAAUGCCUGAGUCCUGUCAAAUAUCAGGAGAAACUGGAUGUUCUAAACCUCUGGGAUAAAUAGAAGAGGAGCACUGUGGAACAGGCUUUGUCACUCACUCUGGUCUCCUGACUUGGGGCACAGACUGAAGUUUAGUAAGUAAAAGAACAAGCACCAGGCUAAGGAAGGCUACUAAACCAGCAUCAGAAAAGUUCAAUGCAUCAGAAGGUAAAAGACCAACCAAGUCAAGGGCCAAGAAUUAAAAUGAAAAUUUGAGUAUUGCAAGAUAUGCAUUACUCAACAGGAGAAAGACAGGCUAGCACUGUUGGAGGGAGGAAAAUCAGUCUCUAGGCUGAAACAUUGGAACCUGCAUCUCCUGCUCGUUGAGCAACAUCUCAGUUGCAUGAGUAGGUGGAGACAAGGAAGACACAAAACAAAGGAAGCAUGUGGUGCCUGCAGGGUGACUGGUGGGAGGAAGAAAACCAUUGGUACAGCCUCCUUCAGAGAAAGGAGACCGGAUGCUCUUAAGUAGACAAGGUGAGGCCCUCUGAACACAUAUUCAAGAUCCACUAGAAUAAAGUAAGUGUCAACUCUGUAAUAGGGUAGAUUAUCAUAGAUUCCUAUAAAGAAAUGUUCUGGGAUUUUAAAAUAAUGUUUGCUGCCAAGAUGACACAGAGUGUUUCAAAACGAACAGAAAUGCACAUAAAAAGUCAAAAUAAGAACAACGGAGGUCUGUGGCUGUAGCUUAGUAGAAGAGUACCUACCAUAUAAUACACAUCAUAAACACAUACCCACACACAUCACAUAGGAAAAACAAAAAGCCAGGGAAGGUUACAAGUAGUCACUGAUAUUGGAUAAUCCCAAAAGACAGAAUUAUAAUAGUUAUUUAAAAUUCAUCUUAUUUUCUAAAUGUUCUAUGAAAAAUUUAGGUGUCUGACCACAAAAGAAUCCCAGCACACAUUAUUUCGAUAUGAUGGUAGUAUGUUUGGCAUUACGGAACCCACUGAUAUGUUUCCCUUUCCUUUCAUUAGCUGUGUGCCACACCGUUGACAGACUGAGUUACAGAAAUUGUGUUUUCUACUUUUGAAUCAGAUCAUAAAACUUUGAGCAGAGUGUUUUCUACAUGGAUGAUCCUGGCUCCUAGAAACAGUGGAAUCAUGUGCACCAGUCGGACCAGGAGGAACCCCCAUACCCCAUGAUUCUGAGCAUGAACACAGUGACUCUAGCCCACCAUCUCCUGCAUGAACUCACGCAUAAUUGGAUCUCAUGGCUUUUUGCAAGAUAACUGUGAACUCUGUUUUCAUUGGACAGUAUCACACAAUUGCCAUCAUAGAAAGGCCAGACCAUGCCUGCAGUCCUAGCACUUAGGUGGCUGAGGAAAAUGGCCACUGUAUGACCAACCUGGACUACCUAUGGACUUCUAGGUCCAGGCUACAGAAAGAAAGACUCUCUUCUAAGUCAACAAAAUGUAACAACAAUAAUAAAAAGAAAAAACAUGGAGGGUAAAAAUUUUAUCUUUGUAAAGUUAUGAAAAGAUACAAGGUGGGACGGGGAGAUCAGACCCUUCCUACCUAGACCGUCCCCUCUGAAAUGACUUCUCUUACAAUCUCCAGCCUGGCCUAUCAGCAACCACUGUCCAAGGAGCCUUUAAUCAGGGUCUCAACUUCUCUAGAAAGAUAAUCUCAGUAUGAGUAACCUUAGAACAUUUAGCAUUAACACUGCUGACAGUGACCAACUUGGUGGUUCUCUGAGGUGAACUAGGAACUGCAGAAAAGAGCUGGAGGACAGCAGCCAGCCUGCCAUGAACCACACACCCAUUGUGUCAUUGGGUCAUUCAUGGCAGUGCCUGUCUUCUUAGAGUAGAGAGUGAAGGGUACACUCCAUGGUGCAUACUGUGGUCACUGUUCCCAUAGACCAGAGACAAGGGGAAUCUGAGAAGGAGGCUUUUUGCUUUAGCUCCCUUGAUCUUUUUAUAGACAGUCACAUGCUCUGAUUACUCAUGAGAACAUCUCCACAGCUCUCUCUGCACCUGGACUUGAGGACUCUAAAUGUGCCUCCUUCUUAUUGUCUGACUGUAAUUAUGUGUAGCUGUGGUUUGCAUGGUAACUCCUAAGAGUCUUUGACCCUAUGAAUAGAUACAUUUUUACCUGUAGCUAGUAUUUCUUAAUUCACUCAUCACUCUUAUCAAUGAACAUGUCUGAAAAUUCUGUACUGCUUUUCGGUGCACUUCAGUCUGUUUCAGUCUUUCCCUCUAUGCCCCAUUCUUCUCCAUCCCCACCUCUCUUCCUAGCUCUGUGCCUUCCUCCCUUAGAUCGUCAGGCCAGAAUCCUAAGACACGUCUUGACUCUCAUUUCAGAUUCACUUACAGUAGUUAAACAGACGUGAUUCUCUAAAUUACCCCGAAGCUCCUUUCUCAUCCUCCAGGCUGACCUGGAGGGGUGUUCUCAGGAAACAACCCCAGUUCUCUCCUGGACACUCACUGUGCUGAGGCAACUUUUUUCAUGUUAAGAAAGCCUUGGCUAUGUCACUGUUCAUCACUCAAAACUCUCACCAUCCUCCAACUUCUGCUUCCAUGACCACUGGCUUCAUUCCCUCUGCUAAAGGUUCUCAGUUACUGUGUCCAAUUCGGAACUUGGGCAUUAUCUUAGGUCUCUCAGAGAGAGAGAGAGAGAGAGAGAGAGAGAGAGAGAGAGAGAGAGAGAGAGAGAGAGAGAGAGUCUGUCCAUGUGAUAUAUGCAUAUACAUACAUAUAUGUACAUAUGUGUGCGUGAAUGUAUGCAUGUAUACAUGCAUGUAUACAUGCAUGAAUGUUUGUGAUUCUUUGGCAUCUUCAUGUUUUGAUUUGUUUUGUUUUUGACUCAUGGCUCCUCUUUGGCCGGAAGUUUAAUAGACUAGGCUGCCCUGCCAGCAAGCCCAGGGCACCAGUGUGUCUCUGCUUCCUGAGUGCUGGGAUUAUGAAUACAUGCUACCAAACUCCCUCUUCUGUUAUUUUGUGAGUGCUAGGGUAACACACUCAGUGUUUGUAGGGCAAGCACUAUACAGACUGAGCUCCGUUUUUGUUUUUUUGUUUUUUUUUUUUCAUAAUGUCAUUGCCUGGUACCUCUCCUUUACCUGAAGGUUAGCAUGAAGAGACGAGCUAUACGUGACUCUACCUGCCCCCCUAUUCAACAAGCUACUUUCCUCCCAAGAAGUCUGUUCCACUUAGUGCGAUGAUGAUAGGGUGUAAGCUGUUAGCCAUUUGCCAUGUUCAAUCCUGUAAGGAGCAUUUAGGGAGUCAAAGGAGGGAACAAUUGGAUGGUAAACAACACGUGCAUGAGGCUUGCGUUGCUGUUGUGUCUUCCCAUCCUCCUAUCUGAUAAAGCUUCUUCAAGUAAGCCAACACAGUGGACUCUCUUCUUAAAGCUGGGUUUACCUGUUCAGAGAAUUCACCAUUUUUAGAAGAUUCUGGAAAACCAAGAGGUGAACAAGAAUUAUUCUUCUCAUGGAUAGCCUCUUCUUUAAAGCAAAAGAAUAUAUAUAUAUAUAUAUAUAUAUAUAUAUAUAUAUAUAUAUAUAUAUAUAUACAUACCACAUACUGGCUCUGCACACUUUGUGUGCCCAGAGCCUGCAUUGCCUGGUUUUGUCUUCCAGGGGUCCCUUAACCAUAACAUAUUCACUACUGAGAGGGUGAGUUCCAGGGAAACCCAGCUGGCCUGAUGUUCCCUCCCUGGGGUAAUAGAAACAGGGGAGACGUGUCUCCUUCUAAUUUAAUUAAAGUGAACUCUUUCAUUAAACUACUGUGGCUACCAUCAUAUUUUUAGGAAUGAAAUAUUUGAUCUGCUCAUGAAUCACUACACUGCACAGGAAAAUUAACUAAGAUUAAAUUAAAUAGUAAUAGUUGGGUACUUAACAGAAGAAGUCAGAGUUAUGCAGCAUUUUGGAAAAAAAUAAACUUUAACUUUUGAAGUUUUAGAUUUAGAGGAGAAGUGCGAAGAUAAGUGACAAGUUCCCCUCUCCUUCCUGAUGUGGUUUAUCCCAUUCUGGUCAUCUUAUGUCACAUAUAAUAGUCACAGUUUAUACCUGUAUAGGUUUACAUACACCAUCAUCCCAUUCUCUCUCUCUCUCUCUCUCUCUCUCUCUCUCUCUCUCUCUGUGUGUGUGUGUGUGUGUAUGUGUGUAUAUGGUGUAUGUUUGUGUGUGUGUAUGUGUGUGUGUAUAUAUGUGUGUGUGUAUAUGUAUGUAUGUGUAUGUGGUGUAUUGUGUGUGUGUCUCUCUCUCUCUCUCUCUCUCUCUGUGUGUGUGUGUGUGUGUGUGUGUGUGUCUUCAUCUGGAGCCCAUGUGACACUUUGUUACAAGGUCCCCUUAAGUUUUCUCUGGACUAGACAGAGACUGAGAAUGUCCUGCUGUGAUGUCCUUGAGGUUUUGCUGGCUUUGCGUUUUGCAGGAUGUUUAUCAAAUGGGUCUUUCUGAGGUGCUCCUUGUGAUUUUUUGGCCAGGGUCCUUAGAGUGGGGAACCACAAAGGUAGGCUGCCACCCCCACCAUGGACUAUUAAAGCAACAUGCCAUGAAAAACAUGCAUCAGAGUAGACAUGAAACCUGGUCCCAUGGUUGGAAAUGUCAGUGACUGUAAACUCUUUCCUGGGUUCUCACAGGACCCUUCCAAUCACUGUUCUGCCCAUACUUACAAGUGAAGGAGUAGGCAGGCAGAGUGUUGGGGACCAUCAUGUACAAGUUUUCUGUAUAAACCAUUUUUUCCUCCCACAUAAUUAUAUUGAGAUGGUCUCAAAGGUGUUUAAUUUAUACCUUAGAUUGCAGUCCAAAUGCUCUUUUUCUGGGUCUUUUUGUUACAGUUUUCUGGCUCAGACCUGGUCUUCCAGACACUUCCUGGCUAUCUGUCCCCUGUUCCUCUUGGCUUCAUUAAUUGCUUAUAGUGGAAUAAGUUUUAUUUUAUUUGGUUGUUGUUCAUUUCGAUGCAUUUUGGUUACUCUUUUCCCAUUCUUUAUGCUACUGUACACAUACAUCUGUGCAUUUAAUGUUUCAAACCUGCCAUCAGCUGCAUCCCCAAAGAGUCCAGGUUCCUUUUGUAAGAAAAUAUGCAGGGGUUGGGGAUUUAGCUCAGCGGUAGAGCACUUGCCUAGCAAGCGCGAGGCCCUGGGUUCGGUCCCCAGCUCUCAAAAAAGAAAGAAAAAAAAAGAGAAAAGAAAAUAUCCUGCAGGUCACAUUUGGCCACUAGUUUUAACAUUACUUUGAUUUAUUUCUUAAAUGAUGUUUAUACAUGUAUAUACUGAUUUUUACCAAUUCUUUGUAAUGAUAAAUAUGUGUGCAAAGCAGAGGAAGCUGUAACUGGAGGCAGCAAUAAAAACACCUAAUCUGAUUGAUUUUUGUUGUUGUUGUCAUCGUUGUUGUUGUUGUUGUUGUGGUGGUGGUGGUGGUGGUGGUGGUGGUGGUGGUGGUGAUGGUGGUGCUCUUUGACUGAUCUCAGGAAACUUCUACCAGUCAGUCUUCAAUUCCCUGAAUCAGCAGGAUGGUCUCUGGGAGGCACAUGUUGUGUGUUUGUGUUUUAGAAAGGUGUCACAUUCUGCUGCCCAAGUUCAAAGUGAGAACUUCUACUGAAGCAUCCUCCCUCCUCUGCAGAUUGACCAGAGGUUAGGGAAAGUGGCUGGAUGAAUAUGUGUUUACAGCUAAUGGACUUCGAAGGAAAACAAGGUUGGAUCCUCUUCCAACCUUAGUUAGUCACCUACACCCCUGGUGACCUUCAGACCUCUAUUACCACUUACUACCUUGUUCCUCUAAUCUUUAAACAGUUGUCCAACACUUAAGUGGGAACUCAGAUGCCUGUAAGCAUCAACCUUCAUCAGGUACCCCAGACAGGUCUCAAACUAUUAGACAGCUUAGGAUGUCCCGGAACUCCCCUGGCCUCUCCGUUCUGAGUGCUAGGAUUGUAUGUGAACAUCGUUACAUCCAGGUUAUGUGGUGUUGUGGAUUGAACUCAGGGUGUUCUGAGUGCUAGGCAAGCAAUCUACCAACUGAGCCUUCUCAAUUGAGGUUUCUUCUCAGUCCCUGUGGCUUCCUCCAUGUGUCACUCCAGAACAGCAAGCAGAAGCAGAGGGAGGUCAGGGGAUCUUUCUCUAUGGAAGACAGCACAGGGUCAGGUACUGCUUUACAGUACUGAGUGAUGAGAGGGCCAAGUGUGCCUAAGCUUGAAUCACUUAGAAUGCUGAGUAUUGAGCCUUGGAGAGGGACAGCUACUCAGAAGUGUGUCUUCCCAGAGUACCUUCUAUCUCAGGGACUCAAGAUCUGUCCUUAAAAUGCAUAAGAGAGAUGGCAGCCUGGAGUCUGUCCCCAAACCUGUGGAAUGGCAGUAGUCUAGCAGUGUAUGUGGGGGAUGGGGUUACUCUUCCAGAUCAUAACUUAACCCUGAUGGCACAUCAGGACAGACCUCAUGUUAUGAUAUUUUAUGUAGAAUCCAUUGAUUACUUGAUGAACACAUGUAAUAUCAAAUGUGGGACUGGGUUGGGGAAAAUGCAAACUUUCAGGGACAUCAAGGAGAACAAAGGGCUGCUUCCCAUCAUCCCACUGGACUCUUUGAACGCUCCCCUAAUGUUGGUUGGGCUGGAGUUAGAUGAGGAGAAUGUCUGUGAUCCACUGUGAGCAUCCACUGUGUGCAGAAAUCAGAAUCUUGCUUUUUCUACAAGUAAAGGAACAAACAUUUAACAAUAAAUAUCUCCUUAAAGUCAGGUCUGAGCUAUUGAAAUCUGUGUGUUUUGGGGUUAAAUAAUACACAUCCACUCCUUCUAAAAGCUUCAAAACUCAUCCUGUGUAGUUAAGUGCAUAAAAUUAAUUCUGUAAUGUAUAUAAUUCUGGAAUAUAGAUGCCAACUGGAAGGAAAAAAAUUUGAGCCAAGUUAUAAAGCCAAAUUACUACACAAUACUCCUUUCUUUAAAAAUCGAAUCCCAAGCCUGUAUCUCAGGAAAUAACAACUGAUUGCAUGACCAUGUGAUAAGACUUACAUUCCUGCUAACUUGCAAGUUAUUUUUUAACUUUAUAAAUUCUAUUUUACCCUCUUUUUGGUUUAGGAAAUAGAGAGGUAAGCAAGGUGCUGAUGGAAAUAUAGAAAUAAACUAUGGAAGGUCAUACCAGGUACUUGCCAGAAUAAGUAGAGCUACAUCCUCAGCUUUACCAAGGUAGAUAAGUUCAAAAGGACCCUGAAUGAUGCUGGAAUCUCAGAGCAGGGGAACACUGGAGACACUGCCCUUGUUAGAAAGAUCUGCCUCUGAAGACCUGAGGCAUGCUGGGACUCUUCACUGUAGCCUACAAACCCAGAAUGAUAUCUAUGGGAGGGCAAAGGUGUCAUGUCUGAGCCCUCUGUUGCACUGUCAGGGCCCACUUCUCUCUGCGGGGUCUCUAUUUCCUCUGGACUGAUCAGAUGCAUCCUGUCUCUAUGGAGAGCUCAGUCUUUAUCAGGAUCAUGGCUCAUUUCCUGGAGGAAAUGAUCUGGUUGUAACCUCUUCGUUUUCUGCUUAAUCACAUUUGGAACUGCAAUCUACCUUUCCCUACUUGCCGGCCCCAUUGAAACUAUUUAUUAAGGACUCUAAUAUCCUUUAAAAAACACUGACUUCGUAGACUCUCUCCUCCUUAUACUCAUCGAGCUUGAAUUAUCUUCUGUCAAAAUUCCAUUUUCAUAAAACGCCUCUUGGAAUUUUAAUUUUGUUCUCAUUUUUACAUCAGUUUCAGUCCUUCUUUCUUCAUGGAGGCCUCCUGCAUCUCAGCAUGUCUCAGGUUCUUGGCUUCCUCUUUUUCUCUUACAGGAAGCCUCUCAGGAAAUUCUAAACUGAGAGGUGCACAGAAUCAGUGUGAGUUCAAGGGGAGGAAUACAGCCUUUGCCCUUGAACAUACAAUUCAAGUUAGCAUCAGGUUCCCAGAUUUUCUGUGUCAUGGUCAAUUCACCUGCCAGAGGAGCACUGUGGGGGUAUCUGUUUCAUCAGAAUGUGAUAAAGACAGAAAGAGAGGAUUAUACAAAGCACUCAAGACAGAGCCCAAGUAUGAACCACACUAUCCAAAGAAUUCAUUAAACAAGCAGAUAGAUGUGGCAGGUGGACCAACAUGGUCUUCUAACAUUUAAGAUAAAUUUAAUCUUGUUAAAAAAAAUAAACACUGUAUCUAUGCUCAAGGAAAUUUCCUUUUACCUUUAUGUCUAUCCCCACUUUGGGGCAGUGUAGCUGUUAGAGUAAAGGCAAGCAUUCUCAGUGAAGCCAGACUGCAGUUUACUUCAUGUAGCAAAUGAGAAAACCUAACCUCUUAUUGCAAAAAUAGCCGAGCGUCCCCAUAGGCAAUGGGACAGUGGAGGGGGACAUCUUCGAGGAUUGUAAUGGACAGGUAUGCCCUCCACGGCAUGAAACUGAAGAUGCACACAACUGGAUGAGUGAUGACCUCCCAAACCGUCACCAGAACUCCACUGUAGGCUGAGUGCUCUUCCGAACUCUUAAAUAUAUGAACUCAUUUUUAAGUUUACAUGGCUGCAGAAAAUCUGAUUCUAGUAUAUAGAGACCUGCAGUGAGAAAAUCACCUUAAAAAUGAGCAAGACCAUAAGGUUAGUAACGAUUCUGCAAAUUUGUGAUUAAAGGACAAAGUGGAACAGGAAGCAGAUACAGGAAAAGAAUGCAUGAUCACAGGAUCUUUAGGGAGUGUGUUAAUGUUGAUUUCUUUUAAAAAUCUUGUGAACACACAGGAGCUUGGGUAGGAAGGUCAGGGGUAUCCAUAACAAAGCAUGCAGAGGGAGAGAACAUCUGAUCUGUACUUUUCAGAGGCUUGCCCACCUGUGGGAACACCUUUUAGAUAGACAGUGGCUUAGGAACAAUUGUAGGAGUCACUGGGUGAUCUCUGGCCAGAGAGAAAGGCUAUUGGCUGUGAUGAUGAUGAUUCCAUAGGUCUGUAAUAAAUAGUUUUCUUUCCACUUGCUCUCACCCUCACCCCCAGCUGUCAAGAAGAAACUAGUAAUUUGAACAGUUGAGAGAGUUUGCCCAUGAUCCCGGGGGUGAGGAGAACCACAGUUGGAGGUGCCAACAGAAAGGUCACCUGAGAUCUCAGAGAAACAGAGGCAUAUGCACACAGCAAGGAGUUCAGGAAUUGACUUCUGUGGACAAAGACUAACAGGAUCUCAUAAAAAGCGACAUCCCAACUCAAUUCAGGACCCUGGGGAAGAAACUUAUUAACACCUAGGUCAUGCAUGGACCCCAAUUUCUGGAUUUCUACCUGGUGCCUGUGCAUAUAUAAGUAAUUUAGGGGUCUAUUGAAAAUUUCACUGGCAUUCUCUGUGUUAAUUUGAAUAUCAAUCUGUAUGUGUCUGACUGUAUAUUUGAAUAUACAAAUAAAUAUGUGCUAAGGAUCAUAUAUGUAUGCAUUGAAAACUAAGAAAAAUGUGUGCCUAGUAUGCUGAUAAUUCACUUAUAUUUCUUUAAUGUUGUACAUUUUCUGGUGAGUGUGUGUGUGUGUGUGUGUGUGUGUGUGUGUGUGUGUGUGUGUGUACAUGGGUCUAUGGUUGUUUCCUUUAUCAUCCUCUACCUUACUCUUGCUGUGGCUGAUUUGAAACAGAGAAUGUAUAACCUACUUCCACCUUCAAACAUGGGCGACCAUCAAUCUAUGUUCUUCCUAUGCAUUUGACUUUCUCAGACAUUCCAAAACAUAACAGCUUGCACAGACAGGAGUACUCUGCUCUCUGCUACUGCACCAAGGCUGGGUUGUUUGAAAACCAAAAGUAAAAUGUUAAAAAUGAAUUCCUUUGUUCCAAUUGAUUCACAGAUGAAAACAUUGCCCAACUAGUUCAAGGAAACCACUCAAACACUUUCUUUUUAAGAUUAUUGUUAUUGAUUGCUCGAUGGUUUUAUAUAUUCAUAUAAUUUAUUUAGCUCAAACCCAACACAACUUCCCUUCCGUUUGAUCCUCUCAUACCCUGCCACCCCAACUUCCCUUCCUUCUGACUCCUCUUGUACUCCACCACCACCACAGUCACUGCUGGACUUCAUGAGCUCUUUGAAAUGACUGGGUUCUGCUAGUCUGUUCAUGUGUGUAGACUGUGGCAACUUGAACAAAGUCAGUCAGAGUCCAAGGUGGAUGGAGACAGGGCUCACAAAGUCCUUUCCCUAUCUGGGGAUGCAUUAAUAAUGGCUGAUGAGGAGGGAGUGCCAUUCUCUACUUUCUUUUCUUAGAUAAGCUCACUCAAUGAAUCUGACCUCUAAGUUAAACUAGGUUGAGUGGCCAUGAAGUUCUAGGGAUUCACAGAUUUCCUUCCUAGCCCUGGAACUGCAUGUGUGCAUCUGCAUCCCAGACUGUGGGAACUAUAGACCUGAGCUUAGAUUCUCAUGAUUAGACAGCAACCAUUCUUCAGACUAAGACCAACCCCAUCCUCACUGUACUGGGUUUUCACAUUUUUCUUGCUUAUUGAUAAAACUACAGUUGCAAAUCUUGAGAGUGCAUACACCAGGGCUCUCUGGCUGGAUUUAUAAUGUGUCCAUUCACUAUGGCUCAUAGAACUGCAGCCCCAGCUAGUUACUAUUUGGAGUCUUGCUCACUUACUCUAAGAGAUAUUUUAACAGUAAUACUACAGAUAUCUUAAUCACAACUAGAAAGAAUCUAUGAAAGCAAAGCCAGCAAGUCAGCAUGCAAAGCAGGACAUAAGUAACUACGCAAUGAAUAUAUAUCAUGCUAUCAUUUUCCUUUAAGGAAUGAAUCCUCUACACGAAUAGGCUUUCAUCUUGCGAGUGAUGCAAUUGCCACUACAGCUAUUGCACAGUGGGCAGCACAUCUGUGUAAUUUUGAAUUUCUAUGCCAAAGCAACCACAACUAGCAGUGAGUGCACGAUCUCCUGGCCUUUCUAAUCCUCAGUGGGCCCUGGGGGACUUGAGUUCUACAUUUCCUUUCAAACGUCACAAAUGGUUCCCUGCUUGCUUUAUUUUUCUUUCCAGGUAUUUAAAAAUACAGUGUCAUCCCUACCUCAGUGUCAUAGGCAGCAAGCAGAUGAUGUCAACUCAGUACAUCCUGACACGGGUUAUAUAUUUUUUAUUAUGUAUAAAAGCAACUUUCCAACCAAAUCUAGUAUCUCUUGUUGAACGUGCAUUGCUAUUGUCUAGAAGUCACGCAUGCCAACUUCUGUAAAUUGUCCAUUCUUUUGUAUAAACUGGAGUUCAGGGAGAAAUAAAUAAAAACAUAGGCUCUAAUGUACAUGUGUAUGCAUGUGUGUAUAUAGGUAUGUGUAAGUCAAGAAACUCCAGACAGUAUACUCUGAAGAUUACAGUCCCACAGCCAAUGAGAGUAGAAGACCCUUAGUCUACUUUAACUGUAAUUCUACUCAUACAUCAUGUUACUACUAAUGGGUAGCCCAUUCUCUAAUGCAUCUUGUUUUAAUGAACUAUAUAGUUAUUUUCACCAAUGAUUUUAUAUUAAGUAUGAUAGAACUGUGAACUUUGAGCUCUGCACAAUUUUAUUUUACAGGAGUGUUGAUGUCAGGAUCCUGCCUUUUAUCACUUUCCUUCUCCUUUUUUUAUUUUUAUAUAGAGAUCUCCAAAUCCUUCCCUGAAUUCCUCUUGAACUCAGAUCCAGUGUGACCUUGUAUAAAAUAUUUGAUGUCAAAUAAUGAAGAAGUGCCUCACUUAGAUCUAACGCCACAUUUCUUAUUAGCCAGUUAACAGCAGCCACUUCCCCUUCAGUCCUGAGGUCUAGCCUGUAGCACAGAAGAUAUUUUGCAGUGUAUAUCCCAUUGACUUAGUCACCAGUUUAUAGAGUGACCCCUGUUAGAAUGUUUUUCCCCCAUGGUGUGGGAAAAACUGGAGGAGCUUCAAAACUUGAUUUUAUCAACACUUCAACUAUUAAUAUUCUAGCUUUACAAUUAAUAUUUAAUAUUUUAGAUAACUUGAGCAUUCAGAUAUAUGAAUGCUUUCAGCCCUAAGACUCUUUAUAACACUGUAAGAAGGAGUCUCAGUUAACCUUAAAUGGCUUAAAAAGGAUACUAAUCCCAAUACUCUGGUGAUGGUCCUCUAUUGAGUCUAUUGUCAAUAACUUAAUUAGCACUUUAAACACAUGUUUAUGUAUAUGUUACUACUGUCUGCAGUGUAAGAAUUUUAUAGCGUAUUUUAUAAUCUUCAACAUCUUUUUAUUAUCACCUUUAUAAAUUACAAUGGAAUGGAAAAUUAAACAAAGUCCUGUGGCUAUCUAGAUGCCUUCCUGUGUGUGAGCAUGUGUUCAGGGCAUAUUGAGUCCCUUGCUUCCCUGUAGAGGCAACUGUUACUAUGUUGUUUGAAUAAUCAUGUGUAUUUACUAGUAAAAAAUAGCUUAUUUUCAAACUAUCAAAUCUGACUUUUUAAGGGACUAUUAUUUGUAAAGUCUAGACACAAACCUGCAGAUAGUCUCAUAUACAUGCACUGUCUGUCCUUUGUUGCUCUGGUUUCUGCUCACAGCUGAGACACCGGAGUUGACACAGUUACAUAAUAAUUAUGAGCUUUUGGAAAAUUUGCAAUAAGAAUUUUAAUGCCUGGCUUACUUAUAUCAUGACUCAUUAUAAACCUACAUUGCAAAGGCAUUUUUAUAAGUGGAAUCCACAGACCUCUGCGUGUGUAGACACAUAACCGUGUUUAAGGAGAAUGGCUUGGCAAUAUCUUGGUCUACGCUUAGAGUGAACGAGUCCAGAAGCUCCUCCACUCAACAGUGAUUGACUCAUGCCUCUGAUUUUCUCAGACACUCCAAGCCAGGAGUUAUAAUUUUAGUCUGAGCAGAUGUUUGCAUUCUCUUACUGCACUGCUCUAUUAGGGAAGUGUCUACUUUUAACAGGUAUGAAGUGAGCAGUCAGUAUACAUAGAAUAGAUUUUCUAGCCCCAUAGCCACUUCUAAAAUGAUUGACGUGCUCUGUCUCCUUAAUAUCCAAUAUCUGGCAGUGCUGUAGCCUGUGAAAGCACCUCGGUCAAUGUUGUCGGGAAUGUGCUUUCAGAAGGGGAAGUUUGGAUGGGUUUUGCUUGAAAGUGCCUCAGAAUGAUCUCUUGGUUAAAAAUGAUAGAAAAUCACGUUCAGGCAUCCUCGUAGGUGAGUUCAUAAUUAUGGGAGAUGGAGAGUUACCAUACUAGUCUCAGAAUAGCUUCUCAGAAUGGGGACAGGGCUACAAAGAGGAAAGGACUUCUGCCAUCAGCCCAUCCCACUGGUAAUUGCAAGAAGAUGAGAAUAUAGAGACAGUGCAAUGUCACGAAGGAAUGAUGAUGGGUCCCUACCCACCACAGAUUAAUUUUUGGUAAAAAACAACUUUCUGAACACUCUCUUUUCCUGGUAUGGUUGCUGCCAACAAAAUGAACCAGAAUUAAGUGUGAGUCACUGUGGUGGUUUAAAUGAGAAAGUCUUCUAUAUCUGAAUACUUGGUCCCAGUUGGUGGGACUACUAAGGAAAGAUUAGUAAGUGUCGCCUUGAUGGAGGAGGAGUGUCAGUGGAGGAGAGGCUUUAAGUUUCAAAAGAGCAGUGUCUUUCUCAGAUCUCUCUCUCUCUCUCUCUCUCUCUCUCUCUCUCUCUCUCUCUCUCUGUAUUUGUGUAUCUAGCUAGCUAGCUCUUGCUGUGUACUGCCAUGCUCCCUGUCAUGAUGGUUAUGGAUUAACUUUCAGAAACUGUAAGCCCCUAUAAACUCUUUAUUUUGUAAGUUCCCUUGAUCAUGGUAUCUCUGAACAGCAAUAGAAAAGUAACUCAGGCAGUCACCAAGAUAGGAACCAUGGCUUUAAGGAUUUGAGCCCCGUGUAAGCAGGCAUAUGAGAGAACCAAGUGUUUUGCGUGAAGAGCAGAGAAAACUCUCUGUGAACCCCAACAAGAACCCCCACUCAACACCGAGACAUACUUUUUUAUGUUUCCUUUCGAAUUUGGGAGACAACAAGGGUGUAAGAUUCACCAUCACUCUGAGAUGGCUUAUCAGCCCUCAGCCAUGGCUAAUCUCCACAAGGCAGGCAGGCUUUAUUCCAGCGCAUCCCUCCACAGGAGUAUGGAAUGCCUUCUCCACCUCAUAGAGGAACACUUGUCUCUUUACUGCCUUUUAACUGUUUGAAUGAAGGGCCACUCUCAGUGUGCACAGCUGCCACCUCUCAUAUAACAGGGCCUCCUAAUGAACAGGGGUGAGAAUCUGAGUUCUUAUAAUUAAAACACAUCUGCGUCCUGCAUAGGAAUGUGACUUUGUCAUCUGGUCAACCUGUUUGUGGUGCUUCAGGGGGUCUUUCCUCUAGGUUUUACCCAUGAUCUAGUAUGUAUACCCACAACCUUUUCACAUGUGGUCAUUAUAUCUGGCUAAUUUCUAUGUCAGGAACCCAGCGAAUUAAAAUGAGGUUGCUCGUAGAGAAUCAAGUGAAACUGUCAUAACCUGAUAUUUCAUGCCCGCCAUGGCUGAAGACAUUGUGAAUUAAGAAACACAGGUUUCCAGAAGUGUCUAGUGCUUUGCACCAUCCUCAGCAAUUCACCUUCAUAAACAAACAUAUACAAUGAUAACUAUUUUGCUUGAUUGUUUCAUGCCCAUUGCAUGAAAAUAAGUAUUGCUUAUUUAUUCUUACUCCGUAAAAGCAAAAGGGAGGAGUCAUCUUGGUGCAGUUUUUCACAGGUAAACCAGUUUGAACAUGUUUCCCUCCAUGUCUUUAUGUCCAGGGAUCUCUGCCACUAGUCCCACUCAAAUGACUUUUAAUCUCUGAUGGAAAUAUUUUAUUGGCAUAAAAGAAACUUAGAAUAUCUGUGUUGUCACGAACGGCUUUUAUUAAGAGAGCAAAACAAUAACAACAGAAGAUACCAUAUAAACUUAAUUUCCAAACAUCCUCUCUCUGAACUAAAUUUUCUCAAAUGUUGUCACUCAUACUCAGAAUGCACUAAAGGAUAUUUCAAUGGUCGAAAGCACCGCUGUUCCUUGUAGAGAACCCAGGUUCUGUCCACAGCGCCCACAGGGCAGCUCAUAAGCACCUCUAACUCCAGUUGCAAGGGAUCCAGCACCAUCUUCUGGCCAUUUUGAAGACUGCAUGCAAAUGGUGCUUCAACAUCCAUGUAGGCAAAACACAUACACAUAAAAUCAAUGUUAAUUUCAUAUAUAUAUACAUAUAUAUAUAUAUACAUACAUAUGUAUAUACACACACAUAUAUGUAUACAUAUAUAUGGGAUUAUAGGAGUUAGUUCUGCAGUUUCUUCCACCUGGGGUCAACAAAGGCUUGUUUUCAUCAAAUUUGUCCUCCCUCAGUUUUUCUCUCUAUUUCCUAAUAUUUAUGGAGUUCUGAUAUUAAAGUCUAUAUCCCUUCUCUGAACACUUUAGAUAUAAUAAUUACUUUAGAUAUAUAUAAUUACUGGUUUGUAAUAAUGGUGAUUAAAUGCAGUACAAGGACACAGGCACAGCUAGGAUGGUGGGACCAGCGAGGAGACCAUUUUGUAGCAAAGAAGCAGCAUUUGUCACUGAAACAAAUUCCUGCCUAGCAAAAGGCUAUUUUUCAAUAUUUGUUUCCAAGAAGAGCAGGGAGGCCACAGCUGCGGGAGUGAGGGUGGGGCCAUCCAUUGUAUCAUGUCCUUCUGGGCGACAUCUGUUGUGUAGAAGUAGCUAAGAUAGGACUUUAAGGGCUGUUAGCCAGACAGGCAGCAGAAGUAGCUUAACCUGAUGCCUGGCAGACAGCCAGUGAACUUCCCAGGACCGGCUCAGAAUGUGCAUUCCCAGAGAUGAGCGAUAGAGGGCGCCUCUGAAUCUUGGUGGCAGCGUGAUGCUUAGUUGCAGGAUUGGACAAAACCACCUGGCCACAUUUAUUGAAGAACAACAUCCCCGUUGCCCAAAUGGAAAAAAAAAAUGGAACAGUACGAGAAGCAGAAAGUAAUGCUAUUCAGGCAAGGAAACCUUUUUGAAAAGCAGCCAUAACUUAUUAGAAAAACUGGAUAGUAAAUUGCACCCAGUUCACCCCUUGGUAACCCCUAGGCUAAUUCCUGGAUCGGGGUUCUCACCUAACAGGUGCAUCAGAGUAAAUGCAGAAGGAGGUCUUGUCCUAGUAACUGCACCAGGCUAUAGACUCCAUGCUGGGGCAGCUUAGCCUUGAGUCAUGGCUGGCAACAGGCUGAGAGCUCGCUGUGACUCACAGGAUCAAGCGUGAAGAGAGAAAGCAAACUGAAGCAUUUCUCAGCCGAGUAUUGAUUGUGCUGGGUGCUAUUUUAAUCCUUCUCAGUUCCUCGGUCUGAAGGCUGCUGUGUCCUUCAGUGUGUCAGUCUGUUUGGGACUUCAGUAGAAGAUGGCAUGGGUACUCCUAGCGGGCAUACCCUAGAGUGAGGUGUCCUCGUUGUCAACAGCGGGCUCAUGCUUCCGGCAGAUUGCUAUCUCAUUCAGAGACCUGUUACCUUGCAAAAAGGGCAACACAGGGCUAAGGGCCAGAAGAGGGAGACAUAGGUCGUCGGCGUUGGCUUUAAGAGUUGAAACAGUCACAGAAGCAUUAUGUGGAUGCCCAUGUGUCAGAUUCAGUUCAAUACUCAGAGAUUUAUGUGACAUCAUCUCAAAGACUCUGGAUAAAGGAAAAGUCAAGAUUCCAGAGCUCAGGGACCAAAGAUAUUACAGUGGACCCCUUAAGUCUACAGCGGACAUUUGGUUUGUUAAGGUUUGGCAUUAUAAAGGUCCUACUUGACCUUUUCUCUAAUGCGAAGGCUCUGGUUCCUGCUUUUCCUUAAAGGUAACAUCACAGUUAGAAAAGAACCUGAGUACAGAAAACAAGCCAGGAGGCCAUGUAAUAUUCUUAUUUUAAAAUAUUUAGAUAAAUGAGUGUCUUUAUUCGGAAAAGACUAUUUGGGAUAUUUGAGAAAUGAAAAAUAAAUUAUUUUACAACUAUUUUAUUUAGAAACUUGAGGGAAAUUGGCCACAUUUCAAGAUUUGCUGUUCAUUCCUGGCAAAGUGACAGGGCUGUGGAAAGAGACUCCAAGAGAAUUCUCUGAGAGUGGUCAGUUGUUAGGUACAGACCCAUAGCAUUCCAAAGUGUUAGUGGGGUGUGGGGUACACCUGCCAGAUAGGAAAAUGGUGGAAGCUAAAGGUUUGCUUUGUGCUAUGCUCAGGAAAAGUCUCUGUCCUCAGUUGUGUAUUUACCUUUUUGGAAUAAGGGCGUUUUGUAAAAGGGAUUUUUAAAAGCCCCAAUUUGCCGAUUUUUAAAGAGCAUAUACAUCCCUAGAUCGCUCUAAUAUGACAUUAGCUUAUGGCAAUUCUGGGUCUGGUAUCUCUUUUAAACUUGGGAUGAAGGGACAGGGCAUGGCUCAGUUGGAAAAGUCCAAGGACCUGAGAUUAAUCCCCAGAACACACAUAAAAGCCAGACACUAUAAUGGAGGGAUUUGUGAACUGGCAGAGCUCCUGUCUCAGAUGAGGUGGAAGGGGGAAGGGGCUGUCUGCUUGAAGUUGUCCUCUGACCUUCACACAUAGUAGGCAUGUGAGGGCAACUGUGUCCCUCCCACAAGUCCUUAUGUUUUUUUUUUUUAAUACACAGAAUGGUAGGUUAUUUCUUUAAAUGAGAGUAGAAAUAGCGUUGUGCUCUGAAUAUUAACCCCUGUCAUGAUUCCCUCAGCAGAAAGAUGUCUCAAGGACAUGUACCGCUUCUGAAACACAUGGGUACCCUCAUACUCUUUUCCCUUGGUGUUUCCAGGACUCUGCCCAGGCUUUAGAGAAAUGGCUCUCUGCCGCUUUUGCAAAUUACUGGUCUAUGGCAAUCAAUCCAAAGACAGUAAACAGGCCCUUCAUACAGCUGUGCUGAUCAAAAUCCUCAACGGUGUCUCUAGGGAGAGGGAUGGCCUCUCUCUGCACAAGUUACAGCUGAAUGACACAUUUGCAACUUCUUCAUGUGAGUCCAAACUGGAUGUCACUGAUCUCAGUUCUCUUCUCUGUUUGUGCAAAAAUGGGAGUCCUUUGUGAGUCAGGCUAACAACUCCUGAGUGAAUUUGCAAAAUUGUAAAAUUUGAGCUGGGGCAACAAAUGUUUUCCAGCUGUUUUCACCUGUCACAGUCACUGCAUACGAUGUCACUCCAGAACCUGCAAAGGUAUCUAUUGUUCAAGAACAACAAUAGCUGUGACACGAGAAGAUACCGUGUUUUGUUUGGGUGGCAUAGAGGACAAAAGUGAGGUGAUCCAGAAGGCAGGCAUGGUCUUAGGUGGGUAAGUGGGUAGAGAAAUGGAUUGACGAAGUCAGUUAGAUUGGUAUCUUGAGCGUCCAUUAAAAUACAGUUUUCAAAGUUAGGGUAUGGGUGGGUGGUAAGAACAUUGGCAGCAACUGCAGAGGACCCAGGUUCAAUUCUCAGCAACCACAUGCUGCUCACAACCAUCUAGUUCCAUGGGCUGUGUCAUUCCAUUCUGGUCUCCUUGGACAUCCAAACAAGGGUGGAGUGAAAGGUUCAUACACAUAAAACAACAUAAAAAUUAAAUUAAAAUGUAUAUCUUAAAUUAGUAUGUAUAUGCUACAGAAUUAUUCUCUCUCUCUCUCUCUCUCUCUCUCUCUCUCUCACACACACACACACACACACAUACACACACUUAAGUUUGAGAUCAUUGGUGAGGGUGGGCUUGGGCAUAACUGUAAUAAUAGGAGAGCAGAUUGCUUCAUACUUUUGAAGUGUUUAUUAAAUCGUGGCUUUGGUGAACUCCAUCUUUCCUUAGGGGCCCACUUAGAUGCAUCCCACCUUGUCUAAGCAGGUUUGACUGUAUCUGUUCACUCUUCCUUCCCAGCUCCUCUGUGGUAUCCACUGACAGUCACCUUGCUCCUGGGCAUGUCUGCCUUCCCUUUGGGCAUCCGGAUACCAGGCAUUUUACCAUUCACUUUCCAUUUUUAUUUUUUAUGUAAGUUUUGCCCAACACAGCGCCUUAGACAAGGUACUGUUCGGUGACUAUCUGACGAGGAUACACAAAUCUCCUCUCGCUCAUCAAACAAUUAGCUGGCUGUUUCCGUCUCUUGUGUCACUGGGUUGGUUUUGGGUGGAAAACAUGAGGGUCUGUGGUGCUUAACACUUCCUUUUCUCUCUCUUUGUGUCAAGUCAGAAAACCCACAGUGACAUAGCUGGACCCCAGCUCACACUGGGCAGUGUUUCCUUUGCAAGUUUAGAUCCAUGGGCUGUUGUUACAACAAUGAGUAAGUUCUGGAGGCUGCUUCAAGUCUGGUGCUUGUCUUUUCAAGAGAGGAAGGUAGCACCACUUUUUGAAAGGAUUAUGGGUCCUGUUCAGUUACAAAUGUCCCAAGCAAUAGGAGGCUUAGUGGAGCCUGGCAUAUGCCUGUAUGAUUUUUGUGAGUAUGGACUCCUGAGCAGUAGUGAACAUAUGCACAUCCCUUAGCUUGUAGUCAGUACAGGGGUCCAUGUUAGCAAGCUAGUUGGAUCAGAAGAGGCUUACAGUAAGAAAGCCUGCCAGGGUGAGGACACCUUCAAGUUCACCUUACCUUCAAGUAGAAGACUUAGAACAGCCCAUCCACCUUGUCUCCUUUUCUGUAGAUUUCAUGGUAGUCACAGACUGCAUUUCCCUGCGUUCUAUUUUAAGCCUUAUCCUAUAGCUCCAUUGGUUUUUAAGUCCUUCAUCUUCUUGUAAUUUCUUUAUGUAAAAGAAAUAGUCUAUGUUCUCAUGUCUACAUUUGGCUAGAGAAAAAUAAUGAUACAUAUUUAAAACAGCAAAAUUGUAGAGAGUCAUCGUAAAAUGUUAAAAAUUCUUACUAAAUGAGGUUUGUCCUACAGUGUAGAAUAAAAAAAAAUUAAAGUUAAUUCAUUUGUUUUCUAGUUAUUUCUGUUUGGAAAGCAUCACUAUGAAUUUAGCAUCUUGUAGACACAAAUGACUGCAAUGUUUUCUGCAGGCUGUGUCCCCACAUGUUUCUAAGGCAUGAUGGUGAACCUAGUUACAGGGGAAGCUGAACCUGAAACACAGAUACCCAGUUAUCAAGACAAAUGCUUGCCUUACAAGCAUCAUUAUUGCCUUACAAGAAAAGUAAAUCUGGAGAACUAAAUGAAUGAAAUGGAAAACUGUCAGAGAAAUCCUCCAUAAAGAAAUUGGACCAAAGAGAACUGAGCUCCUCUGGGAGAAGAGUGGGAUCAGGCGGUCACUUGCUCUGUCUCUCACCGUCCCCUGGACUUGGGUCCUCGGUAACUGAACCACACUAAACUAGUUUUAAGUUGCCAUUGUGUACAGGAUUUGAAGGCCUGUUAGAUAUGAUGACGCUCUUACAGCAAGAAACACGGGUAAAAUUUGAGCCAAUGGAUGAGUACAAAGCCACAUCCCACCCAGUUCUAACUGUUGAUGUCACCCUUUCUUUGGUAGGAAUCCCCUUUAUUCUUCUGCUUCCUGUAUCCAUUCAUCGCCACGAAGUAUGAGACAUGAUGGUAUCACAUUAGAAAACCCUGAGAAUGGCCCUGGAGAUUAGAAUACCAUUUCUGUACUUUCAACACAAUUCUACUGAAGAUCUGGAUAAAAGUCAAUUAAAAAGCACAAAGUGAACCUAAAAUUCAAGAGGCAGAAAAAAAAUCUUUUUGAGUGAGUUUUUAGUCAGUUUAGAAAUUGCCCACGAGGCUGGUACACCAGGGACACACUCCUUUAUGGCCAGCCCUCCUGCUGCUAUUUCUAGAUCAAGACGACACUCUUCUGUUCUGCCCUGGUGUGUGCAGACGCCAUAGAUGAUGAGUAAAUAGGUAGGCGUGUCUGGCAUACAGGGAAAGUGCAUUUGUGGACACUGAAGCUUAAGUUCAUGGAUGUACUUUCUUUCACGUGCAGCAUGGUUUGAUCUGAUUCCUUUUGACGAUCACCGCGAUUGGAAUUGGGGUAUGUUAGGCAAACGCUCUAUGCUUUUUAGCUGGGAUUUUGAAAAGUUGUCAGGGUGGGCCUUGAACUUUGAUUCUCGCUCUGUCUCUCAUGUGCCUGGGAUUGAGAACUCUCAGGCUCUGAUCAAGUCUAUUACUUUCUCCAUUUUCAAAAAUACUUUGCUGGGGAACUCCUGUCAUUUCUUCCUCCUUCAAUGCAAGACUGGUUGCAAGGUUUAUUUUGACCCACGUGCUAAGUGUGAUGUCAUUGUAGGAUACACCCAUAGAGAGCAAACCUUAACAGCCACACCCUCCCCUCAGCCUAGAUAGACUUUCUCAUGGCUUCUUGGAGCUGUGCCACCCAUUCUGUCCUAUGGAGCUCACAAAUCCCCUUUAUCUCUUGGUAAAUAUUGUUGAAAUUUCCUCAAGAGUAUUUAAAGGUCAGACAGCACCUGCCGUGUGCCACAGCGUGCUUCCUUCUUGAGAACUCACGGAUUCGUUGCCUGCCAGAUAAUUUUAUGUCCUUAGUUCUUCUGUGUGUCAGCUAGGCAUGCUCUCCUCCUGAAUGCACUUUUAAGUAUCUUUCUGUUUGUUUCUUUGACUCUAGGAUGUUUUACCACACUUUGUCUUGAAUUGUGUGGCUGCUGUAUAAUGAAUAUCUCAGACAUCAUUCCUUUUGUUUGUUUGUUUGAAUUUUAAAAUUAAAUUAUUUUAUUCAUUUACAUGCAGCUCCUACUUUCUGCCCACCUCUUCGAGUGAGUUCUUCACCCAUCCUCAUAGAACCCCCCACCUUUGAGAUGCUGCUCUCCCACCUGCCCACCUACCCCCACCUCACCCCUACCAGCAUCCCUCUUCCCUGGGGCAUCAAGUUUCCAUAGGAUUGAGCACAUCCUCUUUCACUGAGGCUAUACAAGGUGGUCCUCAUCUAUUCAUGUGCCCAGGGCCAAGAAUCAGCCCAUGUAUGCUCCUUAGUUUUGGACAUAGUUUCUGGGAGCUCUGAGGGGUCAAGUUUAGUUGAUACUGUUGUCCUUCUUCUAGGGUUGUAAACUCCUUCAAAUCCUUCAGUCCUUAUUCUAACUCAUCUAUAUUGGUCUCUAACCUCAAUCCAAAGGUUGGCUGAAAUUAUCUGCAGUUGUCUCAGUCAGUUGCUAAUAGAGACUCUCAGAGGACAGCCAUGCCAGGCUCCUGUCGGAUGUCAUUUUUACUAUAGGGAUUCCUUCCUGCCAAUCAGCUUGAUGGAAGAAUGAAGAAUUUCACUUAGAUGCCCAAGAAUAAUUUCAAGUAAGCAUGCCCUAGAGCAUCACAUCUGAAAUCAACACCAGCUUUCAUGCAGAAUGGGGCAAUCCCCUUUGGGUUUCUUUUGUGGAAUGCUCUACAAGAUGUGACCAAAGCAAGCAGAUGAGAAAGGGAUCUUGAGUCUGCAUCUUAAAUGCUUUGAUGAACUGGACAGAGGUGGAGAAUGAGUGAAUGUUGGUAAAGAACAGGUGAGGGUUUUAAUGAGCUUUUGGGAAAAUGAAAGGCAAAGAGGGAAUCUCCAUUGAGAAUGAGACAGAAGAAAUCUGGGAGCAAGAGCAGAUGGACAGGAUUGCUCUCCAAUGCAGGAUGCUUUUGAAUAGGCCACGGAAGACACACACACUGCACUGACUUGGCUAGCCAAAAAGCACAUCUGUGCAUGCAUGGAUCAGGGGCUCUCUGUUCUUAGUGAGCUUCUUAUGCCCUGCAGACCCAGUCCCCAUGGUGAGAGCAAUGCCUUUAGUAGUAUUCACUUUGCUUUCAUAGCUUAUAAAGGUACCUUUAUUGACAAUGUUUACAAGUCAAUGAAUAUUUAAAUUAGGUACUGAGCCAAAAAGUAUGCUAUGAGAGAUACCCAGAUUGUCCUUGGAUGGUCUGGUCCCUGUUCCCACAUAUUCCCACAACAGUUUUGAAAAUACAGGGUAGAAAAUACUGCCUGGUUGUGCUAGCCAGACUGCAUGUGAGAAGUGCAUAUUAAUCUCAUGGUUCUACUGGUAGAGAAAAGAUCAGACAAGAUGGCAAAGAUCAGGUCUCUUGCCCUAAGGAUGCCUAGUGUUCAUUCACAGAUGGGAUCAGUCAGUGCUGGCAGCCCCACAUUCUUCAGGUUUACUGCAUCUGUCUGUGGUCGGUGACCUUUCUAAUGUGCAAGGUUGAACUAUGGUUUUUCUCCAGGCAGGAGAAAAGGUGUUUCCUGUGACCUCAUCCACUCUCCCAGAGAAUUAACUCCAGCCAAUGGCAGAGCCUCAGCAUACAAAAGCAGGUAGAUGCUUCUAGGAGAAUGGAAAGUAGAAAUCAGAACAUGUGCUCUAGUCUCAAGGUGCUUCUCUGGAGCACCCUUGGAGGCAGCUUGAUUUAUCUUCAGGGACAUUUGAGCACCAACCUUGUAGCCACAUGAAUGCAUCUCAGACCACACAUUUAGGAAGCCAGAAAGAAAAUCCACAGUUAUCACCUUGGCAUAAAUGUAUGCAAGUUACUGUCAACCUACUGUGCUGAUCUAUAUACUGCUAUCCACUAGCAGGCAGUAAGACAAAGUAUAUACACUGAGAAAAGGUAUACAGUGACAGAGAAAAACUGCUUGAAGCAGUACUGAACCAAUGAUAUCAGAACAGUGCCCUAUUCUGAACUGGACUUCCAAGUGUCUGCAAGCAUUUGAAGAGCUAUGGUCUUCAACCAGGCCAAAAGUUUCACCUUUACCAAAUGUCUUAAGACAUGGAUAUAAAGAAAUAAAGAGAUGAACAGUUGUUAGUAAGCCAUCCCUGUCUUCCCAGCCUCAGAAAGCUUGGAUGGAAGGGUUCCUCUUUGGGAAAAUGAGGUCUGAAUUCAUGGUCAGCGUGAGGUACAUACACUAUAUACUGAUAACUAUUAGGAAGAAAAGUAAACUAUUUUUCAGAAAGCCAGAGGUCUGGUCUGAUUUAUAAAACUGUAUUAUCCUAAAACCCAUCAUAUAUAUAUCCUCUAUGUCAGAAACACAACACAAGCAUUUUAAUGAUAAUAUCAAAUUGAAUAAUUAUAUCUAAUAAUAAAGAAUAGUAUCUAAGGCAAACAUUCACCUUUUUUCUGUUUUAUAAUUUUGCCUAUAAUUUUUGCCUAGUCUCCAAAAAGCAAUUUUUUUUACUUGCCCACAUUCUUGUCCAAUCACAGUCUGUAAAUUUUUCAUGCCUCCAAAUGACUUUUCUAGUGCCAGUAUUUAACAAAAUUACUAAGAUAUUUAUAUAAGGACUUCAUUUUCUAUCGUUGGAGCUUGUCCUCUGAAAAUGUCUCAGUCUGUAAGUACCUUAUGUAAGUUAUCACUAUGCCAUCUAUAGAUAUGGAUUUGCUCAACUGUUUCUAUAUUUUUCUGAGAAUAGCUAUAAUUAAAGAGGUUUCUAUGCAACGUCACAUAGCCAAGUUUUUCAGCUAUUAUUAUUUCAGACCUAAAGUAGCAUGUUCCUAAAACACAGUCCUGCCAUGAAUAUCUUAUGUAUCAUUGAUUGAUCAGUAAUGUAUUACAACUAUCUUUACAACAUGUAUCUAUAUGCCUUUAUAGUUAUUAAAGUAUGUUUACAUACUCAUACUAUGUCCAUCAAUGAGCCUGAAGACUCACAUUUGUUGAUGCCAUAUGUGAUUAAUGGAAUUGAUCCAUCUACCAUUCCAAUCAUGCCCCAACACACUUAGUAGGUAGACUAAGGUGCUGCUCUGUUUCCCACUUAUACACAUCAAGUAAGUCCAGGCACGUAUUUACUGAUUUUAAUACAAGAGGAGAAUUCAACAUUAAUUUUUCUAAAGAAGUGAAAAAACAUGGAAAGGAUUUUUGUCUUUCCCUGUUGGAAAAACCUUGUUUUAUUUACUUUAGGCGUCCUGCUGACUGAUGGGCCGUGAAAGUGAGGCCUCCAUCUCAGAGGAACCAGCUUUUCUUUUGCUGUGUUCUGCAAUCCUAAGCUGAACUGUGUCUUUCCACCUUAACAUUAAUCUUUAGAAUGUCCCUUCAGAAAUAUUCCUUCAGAAACAUGAAGGAUUAGCAGAAGGAGACACUUGCUGCUCCAGGAAUGGGUAGAGCUCCGUGAAGCUUUCCCCACUUUUUCUGAAUUCCACCUUCCCAAGGAUUAGUAGAUCUGUAUUUUGAUUGGUAGCCUUUAGAUCAUUGUAGUCGAGAAGCUGCUUGAACUUAGUCAAUACCUGGGAACUUAGUGAAAGUUCCUAGAGUCUAUUACAGAGAUCUGAAUAGUUAUAAAGAAGAUUCAGAGGUUAUCUGCAGAGGUUCCCCAACCCAACCAAAACACAGGAAUUUCUGGUAUCCAAUUUCCUAUUACUAGGAUCAAACACACAGAAGAACUUAAAGAUGCACACAGGGACCAAGGAAUUGUAAUUCCAGCAUUCUGGAUAUUGAGACCCAAGGAAGUAAAUAAUAACUAAAAGGCAGUUCAGACACUUUGUCUUUUUCAUAGUGUUCUGCCAUUUUCCUUAAUAAUAACAUUAAUAUGGGACUC